Molecule: long non-coding RNA, 1656 nt
Filed under: Homo sapiens (human)
Lineage: Eukaryota; Metazoa; Chordata; Mammalia; Primates; Hominidae
Description: non-protein coding lnc-CALM1-7:4
Source: RNAcentral
GCCCGCGAGCGCUCCAAAGGCUUGGGCGUGCGGCUUGCUCUUCCUCUCCGCUUGACGGGCGGUGGUUCCCCCGAGACAGAAACUUGACUGAAAAAUAAUACCAAAUACCCGUGCUGCGGCCCGUGGCCCUCCAUAGGGCCACCUGAACUAGCCUCGCCUGUCCCCUUGCUCUUUGCCGUUCGUCCUUCGCGUUUUGUGAAAACAGUUGGCGCCGCAGAAAUGAGAUAAACGCCCCUGAGCUCGAAACCCGCACUCGAACUGCCACCGAGCCGACCCUUCCUGUUUUGGAACUCAGGGCCCGGCCACCCGAGAAGCACCCUCAUGGGCACUUUGUUUCUACAAGGGCCCGUUUCCAUUUCCUUCCUAAGGUUUCCUUAUCCCCUGCGGCAGGAGGGGCCCGCUGGGCUCGGGUUUUCAGCUGCGUUGGAGCUGCAGAGGCUGCGGAGUGAACGCGGCCAGGAGCCCGCCUGGGAGCGCGCAGCGCUCUAGGAGCCGAGAGCCGCUGCUUGGCCCUCGCUGGCCGGGUAAACCGAGGGGAAGCUCCUGGCCUCCUUUCCCUUAAGCCCCUUAUUGCUUCUGUGGGGAAGGCCCUCCUAGGUAGAGGCGAAGGACCGGGGAGAUAACCUCUCCCAUGGGCCACAUCCGCUGCCAUGGUCUGUGUCGUGCCAGAAGGUACCUCUCAGCCCUCAGUGCCGUGAAAAAUCUGACACUCAAGAAGGUCGAUUGACACGCCUAACGUCGCACAGCAAUUUAGUAGCACAGCACAGAAUAGAAGCUACCCAGGCUGGCUGUCUCCCAAGCCUGUGUUUCUCUACCACACACAGUAACACUGCGUCUUCCAGAGCUGAAGCUGUAGUCGUGAGAUGGCUCAAGCAUUUGGGGGAACUGGAAGGCAGACCUGGGAAUGAAGAGAAUUGUUUUCUUUGAGCAGAAUUUUCAGUCAGUGGCCUACAGAAAAAGUAGAGAAGAAACAUUACUUGGUUAUUGUCACUGUUCCAAGAGGCUAGCUAAGAAAAUUAAAUCGUGUGGAUUUCUUAAAACUGCUGUUUCGUGUAACCUCCAAACAUCUAUCUGUGACUUUGGCACAAGGUGGCUUGGAUGUCUGAUCUUUGUGAUUGAACUAUAUUCACAUCCUGUUUCUAAGAUUGUGUUACUAAUGGUUUUUCCUGAGGUUUUACAACCAGUAGUGGUGUCUGCGCUGUAGUCAAGUGAAGGUUCUUUGAUCUAAGGCUAUACUUGUCAGUUGCUGUUUAUUGCUUCUUAAACUUUUACUCAAAGUCUUCUUCAAAAAGGAGAAAAGCUGUGGUUUUCUUUCUGUAGGCGGUUAGUAGUCAUUCCCAAAGAUGUUUGCCAAGUGAGCAAAUAUAUUGGAACUUCCAAAUGAGCAUUUCACUGUAAAAAUACCUGCCCCAAAAACAAUACGACAUGUUUCUUUUGCAAUUUAUAUGGUAUAGGAAACAUGUUCUGUGACUUCUUUGUAGCAAGCCAGAUCCUGAUGUGAAAAAAGAGAUCUAACUGUGCCAAUAACAAAUUGAGAAUUCUUGAGUAAGUUCCUUUCCUGUGUUCUUGGGACCUCAGUUUUCUUUUUGUUUGUUUGUUUGAGACGGAGAUUCGCUCUGUCGCCAGGCUGGAGUGCAGUGGCGCGAUCUCGGCUCA